Molecule: long non-coding RNA, 3306 nt
Filed under: Bemisia tabaci
Lineage: Eukaryota; Metazoa; Arthropoda; Insecta; Hemiptera; Aleyrodidae
Description: lncRNA ENSSSA1NGG006794
Source: RNAcentral
AUGCGAUCACCCGUCAAAGAAUCACCAAGCUCUAAUCGCUCCAGCCCGGAGCGAAGUGCGUUUGCACCGAUCAAACAAUUCAGAACGAGCCCAGAAAUUAAGAAAACCACGGAACCCUCAUAUCCAGCAGAAAAAUUGCGGAAAACCUCUAAUACAGCCCCGACUACAGACACUCCCGUGGGUCGAAAACCUUCACUGAAAAGAUCCUCACCCACUAAAGUUUCCUCUCCAACCAGGAGUGUAUCAUCAAGUGCCUCUCCUGCGUCUAGUCCCGAGAGGAGAAGUCCUCAGAAUAAGAUCAGAAACCCUUCCGCUUCAGCUCCCGUUUCCGAGGAAACUGAAGUAAUUGAAUCAACUCAAGAAACACGAAUCACAAGAAAAACUUCAGUUCCGCGCUCAAACUCAAAACAGAGCCUUACCAAGAAACAACCCGAAAAGUCCGUCAAAGAUAGAGUGACGCAAGGAACACGUAUUCCUUCCUCAACAGAUCUCAGAAGUUCUUCCGUCACUCGUAAAACCAACCGAGCAUCUGAAACAAUCACUAUCACUAAAAAAGCGCCGUCAAAACCAACAGAGGUCACAAGAACUCCUCAAAGAGGUCCUUCAAAUCCAAAUCUUAAAACUGUGAAAACAACGCUCACCACAACGGUUAACGCGUCUCCAAGGUAUAGCUCCCCUGUCCGAAAACCAGGCACUCCGACUCAAAUAGCUCGAUUGAAACCAAGCCCCGUGCGAGGAACGGGACCCUCCAGCACCACCGCUAAUAGAGUAACAUCAAGAAGCGAGGUGACAGUAACCGUGUCACCUUCCAGAAAGACAGCUCCAAAGAAAGAAACUCCGAGCAUGAAACCCAGAAGCCAUGAGGCACCUAGACGCCCCGAAUCUCCCCUACGGAAACCAACUACUUUCUCAAAGGAUGCUAAGACCAGUUCUCUUCGAGCUUUGCAAUUGAUUUGCUCUCAAGAAAUAAAUAAAACCGAGAAUGUUGACGACUUUGAAUAUGAAGUUGACAUCGAUGAAAAUAACCUUGAAGACGAGCUCCCACCAGAUGAUUUUGCGAGUGACGUGACUGACCGUGAAAAUGUCAGAACAACUAGCAGGAGUGUGGUCACUAAAACUGUAACUACAAAGGUGACGCCGGCAAAGAAACCAUCUGUUCAAGCUCUUAAAUCUGAUAAUAAAUACAACAGAUCGUCAAAUGAAAAAUUGAUUUCAAGAUUAGCAACUCCUAAGAAACAGCCGACAAAACCAGAAAUUGUAACUCCUAAAAGUAGUCGAGUGCCAACUAAAGUUAGUCCUGGGAAAACUCCAGUAGAAAAAAAAGCGCCGCUAACGAAGAAAGGUUCAACUGGCAGCACAACCGGUAGUAAGAAAACAAUUAUCAAAAAGUCGUCGAAGGAUAGUAUCAAGCGAGUGGACGAUGACUCUUCUUCUUGUUCAGAGGAUGAGUUGCAUGAUGUAUCAAUUACAGUUGAUAGUUCAGAAAGAGACCAGAAGUACGUGGAAGAACUGGAAGAAAUCAGACGCCGAGAUGAAUCUGAACAUGGGUCUAAAGUUUUUGCGACAAGCAACAAAGAUUCAUCUUUGUUAUCUGUUAUUGUCCAGCUACCCUCGUCGUCAAGAGAGUCUUCUCCUGACUAUGCUAGCCGCUCACAGUACUCAGCUGCUGUUAGCGAUGACGGCAGUGAGAAACCUGUGAGGUACGCUGAUAGGGUUAGCGAGCCAGAAGACUCCGAUGUCAACAUGAAGGUAAAAUCUGCUGACUUUCUUCGUGCUGAAGGUCGCAUAUAUGAACAAGUUACUGAUCUGGACGAAGAGUCUGAGUCUGAAACUACGAAAGUGGACGUGUCUGUGGCUGAUCGUGUAUCAAAAUUCUUACAGUCCACAAAAACUUCUAACACUACAACAACUUCCACCACUGAAGUUCAGAACAAGAAAGAUAAAUCUGUUUUGAAAGCAGCCGCCCUCUUCGAUAAAAUUGUUGAAGACCAGUACGUCCCCGUAGGUCCUAGUAACAAAGUAAUUGAUAUAUACAGUAAACAAUUCCCAGGACACGAAGCCGUUACCGUCGAAGAUCGAUCAGACCAAUAUCAAGAAAUUCUAGAAUCCGUACUUGAUAUUGAUGGUAGGAGACGAUCAUCAGUGAAUGUUGAUGAAACAGACGACGCUGCCCCAACACGGACUUUGGAUAGGCGACAGUCGUCGGUUGCGUCCAUUAACAAAGAUGACUACAAAGCGUCAAUUAAGGCUUUCGAAAAGAGACGCUCCUCCGUUAAUGUAAACGACGUAGCAGCUGCUACUAAGUUGUCUGAGAAAAGGCGAUCAUCAGUGAAACCUGAAGAUGUUACGCCAGUUUCGAAAACCUACGAGAGCAGGAAGUCAUCCGUAAAACCUGAGGAUGUCGCCCCGGUAUCGAAAACUUAUGAUAGUAGAAGGUCUUCCGCGAAUGUAGAGAAGGUUGUUUCUUCCACCAGCGUCUAUGACAGGAGACGAUCAUCGAACACAGAAGAUGUAAUACUAGAGAACAAGACUCUGGAACGACGAAAAUCUUCUAUUCCAGCCGAAACUAAGAGCGAUGAUGUAGUCACGGAAGAAAUUAUUAACGUUGAAGUCAAAGAAAAUAAAAAAGCUCCAUUCGAAAGAAAGGAAUCAGCGUUUGCUGCAGAUUACAAAUCUCGCAAGGACUUCUUCGAAAAGAAAGCAACCACUCCUAUCAAUAGCGUUCCCAGCAGUCCAAGAGCUGCCCCGAAAUUCGGGACCAACUUGAAAACUACUACAAAUCAGACCGUGGAAACCAGAGAAGUUACGUCAUUCACAAGGAGGGACUCUGAGACGCGAAAGUCUCCCGAAAAAGAUCUGUCAACUCCCAGAAAGCCUUCUCUGAAAGAUUCACCAGUCGAGACACAGAGACUGCCGUCUAGCAGAAAAUCUCCUGAGAAAGAGGUACCCAGUAAAGUUGCCUCUCCCAAGGAAGACACGCCUUCCCCUCGUAAAGAUUCUCUUCCUCAAAAAGACUCCUUCACAACCCGUAGGGACUCGUUUUCGCCAAAGGAGCCCACUUCACCACAAAAAGGACCACUUUCAAGAAAACCUUCCGAAAAGGAAGUCACUCCAACUGUUACCGAAACUACACCUACUAAAGCCCUGCCGACAAGCCUCACGAAUCAACUCUUUUCAAACCUACUUUAUCAUCCUCCAGAAGAAGCUCAACGCCUAGAAAGUCUCCAGAACGACAAGCACCAAUCGAAAGACAACCAUCGUCUAAUGAGUUGCCGCAGAAUGUUCGUAAAGCUCCCGAAAAACCUA